GUCUCUAUGGUGGCCCCAGGGGCCCUUCUGCGCGCCUACGAGAUGAACGCGGAGGCUGGCGGCAGCGGCGGUGUGGUUGCCGCAGGGCGGUCUGCAGCGGGCAGCCCCACGGCAGGUGGCUUCGUCCCGUCGGCGCUGGGGACCCGAGCGCAUUGGGAUGCUGUUUAUGACAGAGAACUGCAAACAUUCCGAGAAUAUGGAGAUACAGGAGAAAUCUGGUUUGGGGAAGAGAGUAUGAAACGACUAAUAAGGUGGAUGCAGAAACACAAGAUCCCAUUGGAUGCUUCAGUGCUUGAUAUUGGAACUGGAAAUGGUGUUUUCCUGGUUGAACUUGCAAAGUUUGGUUUCUCUAAUAUAACUGGAAUUGAUUACUCUGCUUCUGCAAUUCAGCUUUCUGGAAGUAUUUUAGAGAAAGAAGGAUUAUCUAACAUUAACUUGAAGGUAGAAGACUUUUUGAAUCUUUCCUCAAAGCUGUCUGGAUUUCAUGUCUGUAUUGACAAAGGGACUUUUGAUGCCAUAAGUCUUAAUCCUGAUAAUGCAGUUGAGAAGAGGAAGCAGUAUGUGAGAUCUCUCUCCAGGGUGUUGGAAGCAAAAGGCUUUUUUCUAAUAACCUCGUGUAAUUGGACCAAGGAAGAGUUGCUAGAUGAAUUCAGUGAAGGAUUUGAACUUUUUGAAGAGCUGCCAACGCCCAAGUUCAGCUUUGGAGGCAGAUCUGGAAACAGUGUAGCAGCACUGGUUUUUCAAAAAUCAUGAAACUUCUUGGACAAAAGUCAGGUGGUUUUCUAGAAGAAACUGCACAGCCAUGUAAACCUGACGCAGAAUAAGCACGUGCAAAUAGUGCUUACAGGAAACAGAUCUGUUCACAGAUGAAAGGGGAGUGCAAGAACAUGUUUUAUUAACAGUUAAUGGAAGAAAAUUAAUGCUAAUUUAUUCUUCAUACACACCGUGCAAUUUGUUAGAAAAGUAAAAGAAUAGUUUGAAAUUCUUUGGUCAAUUGAUGGAUUUCUAUGUUAGGGGCAUAGAAAUGAAACUCAACAUUAAGCAGACAAAUACCCAAGCCCACAGGCUACGUAAAUGCUGAAUAAAACCAGCUUCACAAUGGAACUCUGAAAAGCGUCGGGUACCCAGCCUAAUGAAUGACUGAAUAUGACCUUAGCAAAAUCCCUGGAGUGCUGUUGAAAGAUCAUUCAUUUUCAGCGUGGAUGUCAAGAUGGGCUCCAGUAACCAGAAAAAAAGAGCGCUUGAGUCAGUACUUACUGAGUAUUAAAAAUCUUUAUAACACGGGGUGUUAGACUAAUCAUUAAAAGGGCUUCUCUAGCUAAAUUUUGAGCUGGCACUAUGUGGACCUGUAGCUUAGGCCCAGAGAAACCAAAGUGAAAAGAUAGGAAUAAUUCCCAAGGCAUCAGUGUAUCAAAUAUCCUGCUUUUAUGGAGUAGAACUUCAAAACUUGGGGUGUAUGGACUGGCAGAAUGAACCUUUGUCAUGCUGAUACCAUUGUGAGAAAGAUGUAAAACCAAGCCAUCAGUUAUGCCUUAAAGUAUUUGCAAAUUACUUGUCUAGCUUAUUAGCGGGAGGUAUAAAAAAACCCCAAAUCUAAGUUUUUUAGAGACAGGGUCUCCCUAUAGCUCCAGCUGGCCUCGAGCACUCUGUAUAGAUCAGGCUGUCCUUGAACUCAGUUGCACUUGCCUCCCUGGCUGGGACUAAAGGCGUGUUCCACCACACCCAGCAAAUCUAAAUUUUUCAGAAGAAACAAUUUUGUUUUCUUGAAGAAACAGUAAAUUCUUCCAUGUUAUAUUUUUACAUAUGCAUUGUUAUUACUGAAUCAGCAGAUGAUACAUAUUUUAGUGAUUUUUUUUCUGCAUGCUGUCUAGAAGCUUCUUUUAAAAAGUGAGUCUAAUCUGCAUUUUUUGCAAAGCCAUAAGCAUUUACACAUGAUCCAGCCAUUAUAUAUCCUAGAUAAUAUCAGAGUAGCUUAGAAAGAAAUGUGGAAAUAAGUCAGUUGAUGAGGGGUCUGUGUGCUGUGAUUCUCUCUUCGUGAAUACCCUGUGGACAGUGAAGUUCAUUACCUGGGAUGGAAGCAGACUAGAAACUGCAUUGUGAUGGUGGUGGCUCUCUGCCGUUGUCCCCCUCAUGGCUCAGAGAGGAGAGCCUCGUGAGGAAGAGGCUAAAUGUGGACGAGUGUGGGUGCUGUGAGUUCACAGUUGCUUCCUAACGUCUCUGCUAAUAUGAAAAUGUCAGGCCUUUGUUCCAAUCUAAUUUUAGUACAUCCUGGCUAAAAAAAAAACUAUGAGGAUGAUUUCUAACCAUGGAACUUGGAGGGGCGGG
This is an RNA transcript of Nannospalax galili (Upper Galilee mountains blind mole rat), 2325 nucleotides long. It is a transcript of the gene named EEF1A lysine methyltransferase 2, with no coding region annotated. The transcript is spliced from 7 exons. The record is from RefSeq and is a predicted model, not a curated record. NCBI's taxonomy places the organism in Eukaryota, Metazoa, Chordata, Mammalia, Rodentia, Spalacidae.